Long non-coding RNA from Frankliniella occidentalis (western flower thrips), 1000 nucleotides. RefSeq lists it as uncharacterized. The transcript is spliced from 3 exons. Lineage: Eukaryota; Metazoa; Arthropoda; Insecta; Thysanoptera; Thripidae. The record is from RefSeq and is a predicted model, not a curated record.
CACCGGAACACUAAUUAAAGUCAGCAGUAGAAGCAGCAGCCGUGGUGGGGUCCUCCUCCUUCUCCUCACCCCUUCCACUGUGCAAAGUGAGAUUCAUGGGCCGCCCGUCCCUCGCACCGCACCACCGCUCACCGCGAGUGUUCGUGAGUUGGCGGGAUCCUAGACUGACUGCGGUGCGGCGUACGCUCAGGUUGUUGUAACGCAAGUACCCAGAGUUGUCUGCCGUGCGGGUCACACCUCGUCCUGCACAACGCCCACAAAAAUGAGUUCUCGGUUCAACACAACAAUGCACUCAAUCGAAUGAAGAGUAUUUAUUUUUGCGCUUGAACCAAGAACCUAGUUUCUUGGUGAAUUUUAUGAUUUUAUCGACAUACAUGCAUUUGGUUGAACCGUUGAACCUACUCACACACGGCUGUACCACACUAAAAAUUAUGCAUGCCGAAAUUCUGGUAUCAAACGACCCCAAAACCUGCACUCACAAAAAUGUUUUCUUGCCCCAAUCCCAAAAAUAUUCUUGACUCAAUUUUACUUGGGACGAGAAUAAUUUUCUCGAGUGAAGACGAUUUUUCUCGUUCGAAGAAGCAUGGUUUUCUUCCCACAAGAAGAAAAUAUUCUUGAUACAUUCUGCUCAGCCCAAGAAAAUAAUAUGCUUGUGCUUGUGCUAGGCCGGGCGGGCGUGGGUGGAGGGGGGACGGACGGAUUAGGGUGGAGCGCGCGAGAGGACCGGGCUACCUGAGGUACAAAGGCAGCGCUGGGGACACGGUCACGCAUGUGGAUUCAUAGCUCAAACGGUUACUGCUUACGCUUCAGCGCCGACUCGACACGAGCAGGGUUCGAAUCCCCGCAGUGCCAAUUGAAGGCGUGAGUUGCAUUAAGGAGAAUCGAACCAGCUGUCACUACCGUCAUAACCCACUGUGAGACAGAGUUCAAGACUGUCUCCGGGGGCACUAUUUCACUUAUUACAGCCAAGACUAAAUAUUCUUGGGAUAAGAAAAUAAUU